This is a long non-coding RNA of Lolium rigidum, 1739 nucleotides long. RefSeq lists it as uncharacterized. The record is from RefSeq and is a predicted model, not a curated record. Lineage: Eukaryota; Viridiplantae; Streptophyta; Magnoliopsida; Poales; Poaceae. The transcript is spliced from 4 exons.
CUCCUCUGCCGGCCACUGAGUUCACCCCGACGAUGAGACCGAGCGUUCAGGUUCGACGCUGCCGAUCCCGGCCACCGCGCCUCACCAACAUCCUGCUGUCCAACUACCAGGAGCACCGCCGCCUCCAGUUCGACUUCGUUGUCCACGACCGCCUCCCAUCUCCAUCAUGACUCCUGCCUAAGUCCCUAUCCACUGAUCCACCUGCCUCCUUGCCAAUUCCUUUGCAUCCCGACCUCCUCGUUGAACCCUAGCACAAGUCCUGCAGCCGCCGCCCUUCUCGUGUCCCCGGCUCCCCGCCCCAGCCACCCUCCCUCAGUCGUCUGAGCGGAUCGCUGAGCGGAGCGCCUCCUCACAUCCGGAUGACCUCCAUCUCGAGGUUCGGCCUCCUCAAAGUUCGGUCCUUCUCCAGCAAAAGCUCCUCCCCGAGCAACCCCAAGUGGACGACCUCCUCCUUCUCGAGAUCCAUCCCCGAUCUUGGCCGGUCUGAUCCUCACUAAGGGAUGCGGCGAUGGAGCUGCGCUCCAAUGAUAGUAUCAGCAACAGAGUGAACAUGCUUCAGUUUGCUGCCCCGCGCACGGACUGAGAUCCUCCUACCCAUUGUCUCCCCAACGCUAGGGCAUUCUACAUCUUUAUGUUCUACAUGUCCAAGUCGUCUAAGAGGAACCAGGAUAUUCUAAAUCGCAGGCAGGAUGGACGCUACAAUGGUAAUCACAAGCAGAAAUUGAUCCCAAAGUGCGACAGGAGGUCUGGCGCGCUCUGGACUUCCCCACCGAAGCCAUCACUGCUGAUGCCUUCAUUGGAGAUGACCAUCUUGAAGCUCCUCCUAGCGAUAGAGUCUAGCAUCCUGGCUGGCGUUGUAGCGCGGCGCCCCCCACACCCGUGGUGUUCGGCGGUGGGACUACGAGGCGCAACUAUAUGAGCUGAGCACAAGCCCUGCCCCAGAGCCAUUCUUCUCCUCUUUCCCAUCUGAAGAGUGAUCUGACUUGAUUAGUACUUCAGCUUCGAAUACAGACACGUCUCAGUUCAGUUGCAGCUAUGUAUGCAUUACUUGCAAGAUCAUAUGUGGAGGUUACUGAAAGAACAAAGAAAUGAUUGUUCUACUUAUUCAGGCCUUGACCUUGGAGAGUCCAAGAUGACCUCGGAUGCCACUGGCAGUCAGACAUCAUUGGCUGUUUGGAACAUUCCACUUUACAAUGCUAAUGGAGAUGCAUCUGAAACGACAUACAUUUUUAUGAGAUCAUUCCUAAGAAUAUAUGGAUGCACAUUCAAAUCAGGAGAAUUUGCUUCAAAAGAUACAAGAGUUUUGUCUUGAAUUGUGUGACUAAUUUACAUGAGCUUCAGGUAGUUUUGUUGGAUAGAUUCUAGGGAAGAAGAAUGGUGAAGCCAGCUUUGUAUCUAUAUGGGUACGAGACGAAUACACAAGUAAUGAAGGUUAGCUUGGACUACAAGUGGGGAAAGAAGGAUUAGUUUUCUUGGAAAAGGCAGCUGACUAAAGGCCCCCGCCCUUCUGAUGUUUUCAUUUUUCUUAGCAAUCCAAAGUCUAAGAUAUGGGAAUACACUGCUGUAUAAAUACCGAAGCUCAGCAGCGAGUGACAUAUUCGUAAGUGGGAUGACUAGGGUUUAGUGACAACGUUGUAGUGUGUAGAAAAGAAAAUUCAGUGACAUUCAAAUGGGCACUUAGAGAAGGAAAUGAAACGAGGGACUAUUCUUAACAAAUUACUAUACUUUAUUUUAGCAAA